Molecule: ribosomal RNA, 2052 nt
Filed under: Triticum aestivum (bread wheat)
Lineage: Eukaryota; Viridiplantae; Streptophyta; Magnoliopsida; Poales; Poaceae
Description: partial small subunit ribosomal RNA
Source: RNAcentral
AUGGCGCGACACCACCACCACCACUUCGUCUCCCACCUCCGAGCAUCCGCGCCGCUCGCCGACCUCCUCCGGUCCGCGCCAAGCCUGCCCGCCGCCCGCGCAGCGCACGCGCGCGCCCUCAAGUCGCCCUACGCGGACGAGACUUUCCUCCUCAACACCCUCGUCUCCGCCUACGCGCGACUCGGCCGCCUCCCCGACGCGCGCAGGGUGUUCGACGAGAUUCCCCGCCCCAACACCUUCUCCUACAACGCCCUCCUCUCCGCGCACGCCCGCCUUGGCAACCCCGCCGACGUCCGUGCUCUCUUCGGCGCCAUCCCCGACCCGGACCAGUGCUCCUACAACGCGGUCAUCGCCGCGCUCGCGCAGCACAGCCGUGGCGCCGACGCCCUCCUGUUCUUCGCCGCCAUGCACGCCGACGACUUCGUGCUCAAUGCCUACUCCUUUGCCAGCGCCCUGAGCGCCUGUGCCGUGGAGAAGGACCUGAGGGCCGGGGUGCAGGUGCAUGCCCUUGUUUCCAAGUCGCCGCAUGCCAAGGACGUGUAUAUUGGCAGUGCGCUCUUGGACAUGUAUGCCAAGUGCGAGGGGCCGGAGGAGGCACGGAGGGUGUUCGAGGCAAUGCCGGAGCGGAAUGUCGUUUCCUGGAACAGCUUGAUCACUUGCUAUGAGCAGAACGGCCCUGUGGGUGAGGCGCUGGUACUGUUUGUCAGGAUGAUGAAUGCCGGUCUUGUGCCCGAUGAGGUGACACUUGCAAGUGUCAUGAGUGCGUGUGCGGGCCUUGCUGCGGAUAGAGAAGGACGGCAGGUUCAUGCGUGCGUGGUGAAAUCCGAUAGGUUUAGGGAGGACAUGGUGCUGAGCAACGCUCUGGUGGACAUGUACGCCAAAUGUGGGAGGACAUGGGAGGCGAGGUGUGUGUUUGACCGCAUGGCUUCCAGGAGUGUUGUCUCUGAAACAUCACUCAUCACCGGGUACGCAAGGUCUGCUAAUGUGGAAGAUGCUCAGGUGGUGUUCUCACAGAUGGUCGAGAAGAAUGUCAUUGCUUGGAAUGUGCUCAUUGCAGCAUAUGCACAGAACGGUGAGGAGGAGGAGGCACUUAGGCUCUUUGUCAGGCUGAAAAGAGAGUCAGUUUGGCCAACACAUUACACAUACGGAAAUGUUCUCAAUGCAUGUGGCAAUGUUGCUGAUCUUCAGCUUGGUCAGCAAGCUCAUGUGCAUGUCCUGAAGGAAGGUUUUCGCUUUGACUUUGGACCAGAGUCUGAUGUGUUUGUUGGGAAUUCCCUUGUAGACAUGUACCUGAAGACAGGAUCAAUUGAUGAUGGUGUGAAGGUGUUUGAGAGGAUGGCAGCCAGAGAUACUGUGUCGUGGAAUGCCAUGAUUGUCGGUCAUGCACAGAACGGCCGUGCAAAAGAAGCACUGCAUCUUUUUGAGAGAAUGUUAUGCAGUAAAGAGAGCCCAGAUUCUGUCACCAUGAUUGGUGUUCUGUCUGCCUGUGGCCAUUCUGGAUUAGUGGAGGAGGGCCGGAGAUACUUUCGGUCCAUGACUGGGGAUCAUGGGAUAACUCCAUCCCAAGAUCACUACACAUGUAUGAUUGAUUUGCUUGGUCGUGCCGGUCAUCUAAAAGAAGUUGAGGAGCUCAUAAAGGAGAUGCCAAUGGAACCUGACAGCGUGCUCUGGGCUUCUCUGCUAGGUUCUUGCAGGCUACAUAAGAAUAUUGAGAUGGGAGAACUGGCAGCUGGGAAGUUGUUUGAGCUUGAUCCUGAGAACUCUGGACCCUACGUUCUUCUCUCGAAUAUGUACGCUGAGUUGGGGAAAUGGGCAGAUGUAUAUAGAGUGAGGAGAUCCAUGAAGAGCAGAGGUGUCAUUAAGCAGCCUGGCCGUAGUUGGAUUGAGAUAGGCAGGCAAGUGAGUGUGUUUCUCGCACGAGAUAACGGACAUCCCUGCAGGAAUGAGAUACACGAUACCUUGAGAAUCAUUCAGAUGCAGAUGAGUAGGGUGAGUGUAGAUGCUGAAAAUGCUGAUGGCCUGAUGAAUUACAGCUCUGAAGCCUGUGGCUAG